RNAcentral lists this ribosomal RNA (497 nucleotides) under uncultured bacterium. Its description in RNAcentral is "partial 16S ribosomal RNA". It matches the Rfam family "Bacterial small subunit ribosomal RNA", at positions 28 to 507 of the family's 1533-position model. The record is from RNAcentral.
GAUGAACGCUGGCGGCGUGCCUAAUACAUGCAAGUCGAGCGAACGGACGAGAAGCUUGCUUCUCUGAUGUUAGCGGCGGACGGGUGAGUAACACGUGGAUAACCUACCUAUAAGACUGGGAUAACUUCGGGAAACCGGAGCUAACACCGGAUAAUAUUUUGAACCGCAUGGUUCAAAAGUGAAAGACGGUCUUGCUGUCACUUAUAGAUGGAUCCGCGCUGCAUUAGCUAGUUGGUAAGGUAACGGCUUACCAAGGCAACGAUGCAUAGCCGACCUGAGAGGGUGAUCGGCCGCACUGGAACUGAGACACGGUCCAGACUCCUACGGGAGGCAGCAGUAUGGAAUCUUCCGCAGAGGGCGAAAGCCUGGCGGAGCAACGCCGCGUGAGUGAUGAAGGUCUUCGGAUCGUAAAACUCUGUUAUUAGGGAAGAACAUAUGUGUAAGUAACUGUGCACAUCUUGACGGUACCUAAUCAGAAAGCCACGGCUAACUACGUG